This 336-nucleotide unclassified non-coding RNA is filed under the name soil metagenome. RNAcentral describes it as "partial contains 5.8S ribosomal RNA, internal transcribed spacer 2, and large subunit ribosomal RNA". The stretch from base 3 to 120 matches the Rfam family "5.8S ribosomal RNA", at positions 37 to 154 of the family's 154-position model. The record is from RNAcentral.
GGUGAAGAACGUAGCGAAAUGCGAUAAGUAAUGUGAAUUGCAGAAUUCAGUGAAUCAUCGAAUCUUUGAACGCACAUUGCGCCCGCCAGUAUUCUGGCGGGCAUGCCUGUUCGAGCGUCAUUUCAACCAUCAAGCCCCCGGCUUGUGUUGGGGACCUGCGGCUGCCGCAGGCCCUGAAAACCAGUGGCGGGCUCGCUGUCACACCGAGCGUAGUAGAUUUUCAUCUCGCUCAGGGCGUGCUGUGGGUUCCGGCCGUAAAAAGCCUUAUUUACCCAAGGUUGACCUCGGAUCAGGUAGGAAGACCCGCUGAACUUAAGCAUAUCAAUAAGCGGAGGA